AACACAUUUAAGGAAUGACUGUAAUAUUUUUUCUGUCUAUGAAGAAAUAACAUAAAAAAUUUGGUGCACACUGAAUAACGCGCGUAGCGGGUUAUUUAACAGUGUGCACCAUAUUUUUUUAUGUUAUUUCGAAUAGACAGAAAAAAUAUUACAGUCAUUUCUUAUAAUUUAAUUCUAAAUUCCAUUUUAAACCGUAGAAAACCAUGAAAAACCGUUAAUGACGUCGCGGUAACAUGACUAAAUUAUGUCUAUGGGCUCAUAACAAAAUAACGUCAGCCAAUCAGAAGAC
This 289-nucleotide long non-coding RNA is filed under the name Mytilus galloprovincialis (Mediterranean mussel). The record is from RNAcentral. Lineage: Eukaryota; Metazoa; Mollusca; Bivalvia; Mytilida; Mytilidae.